UACGUAGGGGGCAAGCGUUAUCCGGAUUUACUGGGUGUAAAGGGAGCGUAGACGGCAGCGCAGGUCUGGAGUGAAAUGCCGGGGCUCAACCCCGGAACUGCUUUGGAAACUGUGCAGCUAGAGUGCGGGAGAGGUAAGCGGAAUUCCUAGUGUAGCGGUGAAAUGCGUAGAUAUUAGGAGGAACACCAGUGGCGAAGGCGGCUUACUGGACCGUAACUGACGUUGAGGCUCGAAAGCGUGGGGAGCAAACAGG
Molecule: ribosomal RNA, 253 nt
Filed under: uncultured bacterium
Lineage: Bacteria
Description: partial 16S ribosomal RNA
Rfam family: Bacterial small subunit ribosomal RNA
Source: RNAcentral